This 27-nucleotide transfer RNA is filed under the name Parachanna obscura. RNAcentral's name for it is "partial tRNA-Thr". Lineage: Eukaryota; Metazoa; Chordata; Actinopteri; Anabantiformes; Channidae. The record is from RNAcentral.
GCACUAGUAGCUCAGCGCCCAGAGCGU